This 1533-nucleotide long non-coding RNA is filed under the name Phocoena sinus (vaquita). RNAcentral describes it as "lncRNA (ENSPSNG00000015354.1)". Lineage: Eukaryota; Metazoa; Chordata; Mammalia; Artiodactyla; Phocoenidae. The record is from RNAcentral.
GCCCCGUGCGAGCCGCCCCCGCCCCCGCGGAGGGGAGCGAGCGCUCGCGGGCCCGUGGUGGGUUCGGCUGCGCUGCGUGAGGGGCUGGGGCGGUCGUGGUGGCGCGAGCGCAGGGAGCGGACAUUGGGUUCCUGAACCUCGGCGCUGAAGACAGCCAGGCCUCCAGCACAGGGUCAAACAGUGCUGCUUCUUGGAAAAACUGAAAAAGCUCUCUGGACGACAGGGGCCCAGAGCUGAUGGCAGACAAUGUCAGCCACUAACAACAUAGCCCAGGCUCGGAAGCUGGUGGAACAGCUCCGCAUCGAAGCCGGGAUUGAGCGCAUCAAGGUCUCCAAAGCCUCCUCCGAACUCAUGAGCUAUUGUGAGCAGCACGCCCGGAACGACCCCCUGCUGGUGGGAGUCCCCGCCUCGGAGAACCCCUUUAAGGACAAGAAGCCUUGUAUUAUCCUAUAGCUCUAUCUUCCCUCAGCUCCUCCCUGACCCCGCCCCACCCCCACCCCAGCCAAGGCAUCAUUCAGUACACAGUCAAGCAAAACUCUUCAUUCCAAAAGAAAUGCAAAAAGUUGCCGUCACCCAGGUCGGGUAAAAUGUAUCCUCUGGGUUCAGAUGGAUUUUCAGACCCAACAUCGCAGCCCUGUCGGGGGCCGGGCUCCACCACCACUUCUCAUGGGAAAUAGCUGAAAUGCCCAAGCAACGCGGUAACGAUUUUUGAAAACGGCGUUGCCAUUUAAGUCAUGGUCUAGAGCCAGAGCUGGGCGGGGAGACGGGAAGGAGGUGGGUGAAUUAGCCGCUGGCGUGGCUGACCCGGCCCGGUGGCGAGUCUCACACAGUUGGCCAUUUGUGAGGACUUCAGCCAGGUUGAUGAUGUGAUGCCUUUGGCCAGGGUGUGUGAAGUGGACAAAACUUGGGUGGAGUUGGGAGGAGGGACAUAACGAGCUUUUUUCAGAAAUCUUUCUCCUUUUCAUUUAAAACCUUGUAAUUCCGUACCGCUAAAAUCGGGUGUCACUGGCUGAACUUGUAGCUAAGCUGGGUUGUGUGACUUGGAUUUCAGGGGCCGGGAGGGGGGCUUUGCCUGUGAAACGCACCCCUGUCACCCAGGGUCACCCAACUGUGUGGCUAUUGUGUGGCAUGUGUCAUCCGACAGCCAUGCUGAGGCCUCCUCCCUUUCCUGGGGACCCCGCCCAUCCCAGAAACGGAUUUUCAGCCCAUGGCUCUGGUCACUGCAACGGCCAGCUGUGUUUUCUUUAGUUUUAAGCACGAGACAUCAGCGUGGGCAGUUAGAGGCUAUGGUCAUAUUUGGCUCUUCCGUGUUUUGUUCUGUUUUUUUUCCACUUUCUGCAUCUCCAUGGCCAUUUUUCAGACAGAAAUGCAGCCUGGGGAGGCCAGCCUGGGGCCCCCUGGUGCUUCGGGGUAUAAAAAGGUGCGAGGGAAUUCCCCGGUGGUCCAGUAGUUAGGACUCUGCGCUUCCACUGCAGGGGGCACGGUUUCGAUCCCGGGGAACUAAGAUCCCGCAAGCCGGGUGGGUGGCUGGCC